This 325-nucleotide ribosomal RNA is filed under the name uncultured eukaryote. RNAcentral describes it as "partial 18S ribosomal RNA". It matches the Rfam family "Eukaryotic small subunit ribosomal RNA", at positions 1470 to 1796 of the family's 1831-position model. The record is from RNAcentral.
CCCUUAGAUGUUCUGGGCUGCACGCGCGCUACACUGAAGCGUUCAACGAGUAUUCACCUUGCCCGAUAGGGUUGGGUAAUCUUUUUAAAAUGCAUCGUGAUGGGGAUAGAUUAUUGCAAUUAUUAAUCUUCAACGAGGAAUUCCUAGUAAGCGCGAGUCAUCAGCUCGUGCUGAUUACGUCCCUGCCCUUUGUACACACCGCCCGUCGCUCCUACCGAUUGAGUGCUCAGGUGAAUAAUUCGGACUGCAGCAAUGUUUGGAUCCCGAACGUUGCAGCGGAAAGUUUAGUGAACCUUAUCACUUAGAGGAAGGAGAAGUCGUAACA